RNAcentral lists this small nuclear RNA (154 nucleotides) under Capitella teleta. RNAcentral describes it as "U1 spliceosomal RNA". It matches the Rfam family "U1 spliceosomal RNA". From Rfam's summary of the family: U1 is a small nuclear RNA (snRNA) component of the spliceosome (involved in pre-mRNA splicing). The record is from RNAcentral. Lineage: Eukaryota; Metazoa; Annelida; Polychaeta; Capitellidae.
AUACUUACCUGGCGCAGGGGACACCGUGAUCCAUAAGGCGGUUCCCUCAUCCUGAGACUUGCUCAUUGCACUGACGGGCUGAGUUGACGGGUGCGAUCGGCGAUGGGUCCAUAGCGUAGUAUUUAUAUUGUAGCCUCAUUGGUCGAAUUGCAGA